CAGCUAGCUUAUCCACCAAUAUAACCAAAUAAUAUAAAUAAAAUAGAAUAGGCCGAACACCAAAAACUAAACCAUUCUUUUACCUGAGUAUGGGAGACAGAAAAGGUUCAACCAAAGCAAUAGAAAUAGUACCGCAAGGGAAAGCUGAAAGAGAAAUGAAAUAACCCAUAUAAGUAACAAAAAGCAAAGACUAAACCUUGUACCUUUUGCAUCAUGAUUUAGCCAGUAAACACAAGCAAAGAGACCUUUAGUUUGAAACCCCGAAACCAGGUGAGCUACCCCGAGACAGCCUAUUAAGGGCCAACCCGUCUCUGUGGCAAAAGAGUGGGAAGAGCUCCGGGUAGAAGUGACAGACCUACCGAACCUGGUGAUAGCUGGUUGCCUAAGAAAUGAAUAGAAGUUCAGCCUCGUACACCUCAAAUCAAAUAAACACCAAUCAAGACACCAAGAGAAAGACACGAGAGUUAGUUAAAGGGGGUACAGCCCCUUCAACAAAGGACACAACCUUAUUCAGGAGGAUAAAGAUCAUAAUAUAUAAAACAUACUGUUCUAGUGGGCCUAAAGGCAGCCACCUAAACAGAAAGCGUUAAAGCUCAGACAGAAAAAAGUUUAUUAUUCUGAUAAAAAAUCUUACUCCCCUAAAUACUAUUAGGCUAAUCCAUGCCCCCAUGGAAGAAAUUAUGCUAAAAUGAGUAACAAGAAGGCCCGCCCUUCUCCAAGCACAAGUGUAAGCCAAACCGGACCAACCAUUGGCAACUAACGAACUCAACCCAAGAGAGCAAUGUGAACCAUAAAAAAAACAAGAAAAACCCACAACUCAACAAUCGUUAACCCCACACUGGAAUGCUAUUAAAGGAAAGACUAAAAGAAAAGGAAGGAACUCGGCAAACACAAGCCUCGCCUGUUUACCAAAAACAUCGCCUCCUGCAACGCAGCCAUGUAUAGGAGGUCCAGCCUGCCCAGUGACUACAAGUUCAACGGCCGCGGUAUUUUGACCGUGCAAAGGUAGCGCAAUCACUUGUCUUUUAAAUAGAGACCUGUAUGAAUGGCUAAACGAGGGCUUAACUGUCUCCCCUUUCAAGUCAGUGAAAUUGAUCUGCCCGUGCAGAAGCG
RNAcentral lists this ribosomal RNA (1113 nucleotides) under Semilabeo obscurus. RNAcentral's name for it is "partial 16S ribosomal RNA". The stretch from base 182 to 1094 matches the Rfam family "Bacterial large subunit ribosomal RNA", at positions 568 to 2044 of the family's 2925-position model. The record is from RNAcentral. Lineage: Eukaryota; Metazoa; Chordata; Actinopteri; Cypriniformes; Cyprinidae.